UCCAGGCCCUACGGGGCGCAGCAGGCGCGAAACCUCCGCAAUGCGCGUAAGCGUGACGGGGCCACCCCGAGUGCCGUCCGCUGAGGAUGGCUUUUCCUCGGUCUAACCAGCCGAGGGAAUAAGGGGAGGGCAAGCCUGGUGUCAGCCGCCGCGGUAA
Molecule: ribosomal RNA, 157 nt
Filed under: uncultured archaeon
Lineage: Archaea
Description: partial 16S ribosomal RNA
Rfam family: Archaeal small subunit ribosomal RNA
Source: RNAcentral